AAUAAGGUGCCUGAAUUAUAGGGCUACCUUGAUAGGGUAGAAAAUGCAACUUUAACCCUGCCCUUAUUA
This 69-nucleotide transfer RNA is filed under the name Chalcopteryx rutilans. Its description in RNAcentral is "tRNA-Ile". The record is from RNAcentral. Lineage: Eukaryota; Metazoa; Arthropoda; Insecta; Odonata; Polythoridae.